Molecule: transfer RNA, 72 nt
Filed under: Bos taurus (domestic cattle)
Lineage: Eukaryota; Metazoa; Chordata; Mammalia; Artiodactyla; Bovidae
Also listed under: 1 other name
Rfam family: tRNA
About the family: Transfer RNA (tRNA) molecules are approximately 80 nucleotides in length.
Source: Rfam by way of RNAcentral
UUCCUGGUGGUCCAGUGGUUAGGACUCGGCGCUUUCAGUACCGUGGUGCAGGUUCGAUCUGUGCUCAGGAAA